UUGAGAAAUGGUUGCGUGCCCAGGCUGAAGGAGACUACAAUGCCAAGCUUGGAAUCACCAUCCUUGGAGAAGCUGUGACAGUUGAAGAUGAAGUCGUGGUGACUAACAGCAUCGUGCUCCCAAACAAGACCCUUAAUGUUAGUGUACAGGAGGAUAUCAUUCUAUGAGGACAAGGAACCAAGAUCCGGCUGGAAUUCAAUGCAGUGUUUAGUUGUGAUUCUUGAAUUUUUUUUUUUAAUGUCAGAGUAAUUAUAGAUUUUUAUGUCAAAAGCGCACUUAUUGAUAGAUACAACAGUAAAUUGUGUUACUGAAGUAGAGUUUCAGUAGGGAACAAUUUUUGCCACAACACAUGAUUUUUUUAUUUUUUUUUUUGGAACACAACACAUGAUGUUUGAGAAAGCUGAAUGCCUUUUUAUAAACUAUAUUUAUAGAAAGUGAAAGUUGACAGCUUGAAACUCUUCUGUAAGGAGGAAAGCAAAUUUAGAAUUUCAAAUUAACCUUUCAAUUUUUCAAUCUUUCAGGCACAUUUGCUAUUUUGCCUUUGUGUAAUGGAACAACUUGCACAAGCCAAUCUUCAAACACACACUUCAAAAUAACAAACCUAACCUAGUUACUCUUA
This is a non-coding RNA of Camellia sinensis, 619 nucleotides long. NCBI's taxonomy places the organism in Eukaryota, Viridiplantae, Streptophyta, Magnoliopsida, Ericales, Theaceae. The record is from RefSeq and is a predicted model, not a curated record.